RNAcentral lists this ribosomal RNA (468 nucleotides) under uncultured bacterium. RNAcentral describes it as "partial 16S ribosomal RNA". It matches the Rfam family "Bacterial small subunit ribosomal RNA", at positions 28 to 507 of the family's 1533-position model. The record is from RNAcentral.
GACGAACGCUGGCGGCGCGCCUAACACAUGCAAGUCGAACGGAGCUGAGAGAAGCUUGCUUUUCUUAGCUUAGUGGCGAACGGGUGAGUAACGCGUGAGUAACCUGCCCUGGAGUGGGGGACAACAGUUGGAAACGACUGCUAAUACCGCAUAAGCUCACGAUCCGGCAUCGGCUUGAGGGAAAAGGAUUUAUUCGCUUCGGGAUGGACUCGCGUCCAAUUAGCUGGUUGGUGAGGUAACGGCCAACCAAGGCGAGGCGUGGUAGCCGGACGGGGAGAUUGACAGGCAACAUUGGGACGAGGACCCGGCCCCGACUCCUCGGAGAGGAGGCAGUGGGGGAUAUUGCAAAAUGGGGGAAAUCCUGAUGCGGCGACGCCGGGUGGAGGAAGAAGGUUUUCGGAUUGUAAACUCUUGUCGUUAGGGACGAUAAUGACGGUACCUAACAAGAAAGCACCGGCUAACUACGUG